RNAcentral lists this ribosomal RNA (1104 nucleotides) under Streptosporangium sp. RNAcentral describes it as "bacterial SSU rRNA". It matches the Rfam family "Bacterial small subunit ribosomal RNA", at positions 87 to 1202 of the family's 1533-position model. Lineage: Bacteria; Bacillati; Actinomycetota; Actinomycetes; Streptosporangiales; Streptosporangiaceae. The record is from RNAcentral.
GUACUCGAGCGGCGAACGGGUGAGUAACACGUGAGUAACCUGCCCCUGACUCUGGGAUAAGCCCGGGAAACUGGGUCUAAUACCGGAUACGACACCUCCUGGCAUCGGGUGGGUGUGGAAAGUUUUUUCGGUUGGGGAUGGACUCGCGGCCUAUCAGCUUGUUGGUGGGGUAAUGGCCUACCAAGGCGACGACGGGUAGCCGGCCUGAGAGGGCGACCGGCCACACUGGGACUGAGACACGGCCCAGACUCCUACGGGAGGCAGCAGUGGGGAAUAUUGCGCAAUGGGCGAAAGCCUGACGCAGCGACGCCGCGUGGGGGAUGACGGCCUUCGGGUUGUAAACCUCUUUCAGCAGGGACGAAGUUGACGUGUACCUGCAGAAGAAGCGCCGGCUAACUACGUGCCAGCAGCCGCGGUAAUACGUAGGGCGCAAGCGUUGUCCGGAAUUAUUGGGCGUAAAGAGCUCGUAGGUGGCUUGUCACGUCGGGUGUGAAAGCUUGGGGCUUAACUCCAGGUCUGCAUUCGAUACGGGCUGGCUAGAGGUAGGUAGGGGAGAACGGAAUUCCUGGUGUAGCGGUGAAAUGCGCAGAUAUCAGGAGGAACACCGGUGGCGAAGGCGGUUCUCUGGGCCUUACCUGACGCUGAGGAGCGAAAGCGUGGGGAGCGAACAGGAUUAGAUACCCUGGUAGUCCACGCUGUAAACGUUGGGCGCUAGGUGUGGGGACCUUCCACGGUUUCCGCGCCGUAGCUAACGCAUUAAGCGCCCCGCCUGGGGAGUACGGCCGCAAGGCUAAAACUCAAAGGAAUUGACGGGGGCCCGCACAAGCGGCGGAGCAUGUUGCUUAAUUCGACGCAACGCGAAGAACCUUACCAAGGCUUGACAUCGCCCGGAAAGCUUCAGAGAUGGAGCCCUCUUCGGACUGGGUGACAGGUGGUGCAUGGCUGUCGUCAGCUCGUGUCUUGAGAUGUUGGGUUAAGUCCCGCAACGAGCGCAACCCUUGUUCAAUGUUGCCAGCACGCUCCUUCGGGGGGUGGUGGGGACUCAUUGGAGACUGCCGGGGUCACUCGGAGGAAGGUGGGGAUGACGUCAAGUAUCAUGGCCCU